GACGAACGCUGGCGGCGUGCUUAACACAUGCAAGUCGAACGAUGAAGCUGGAGCUUGCUCCGGUGGAUUAGUGGCGAACGGGUGAGUAACACGUGAGCAAUCUGCCCUUGACUCUGGGAUAACUGCGGGAAACUGUAGCUAAUACCGGAUACGAGGCUCGAAGGCAUCUUCGGGUCUGGAAAGAAUUUCGGUCAAGGAUGAGCUCGCGGCCUAUCAGCUUGUUGGUGAGGUAAUGGCUCACCAAGGCGACGACGGGUAGCCGGCCUGAGAGGGUGACCGGCCACACUGGGACUGGGACCCGGCCCAGACUCCUACGGGAGGCAGCAGUGGGGAAUAUUGCACAAUGGGCGAAAGCCUGAUGCAGCAACGCCGCGUGAGGGAGGAAGGCCUUCGGGUUGUAAACCUCUUUUAGCAGGGAAGAAGCGAAAGUGACGGUACCUGCAGAAAAAGCACCGGCUAACUACGUGCCAGCAGCCGCCGUAA
This 483-nucleotide ribosomal RNA is filed under the name uncultured bacterium. RNAcentral's name for it is "partial 16S ribosomal RNA". It matches the Rfam family "Bacterial small subunit ribosomal RNA", at positions 28 to 523 of the family's 1533-position model. The record is from RNAcentral.